RNAcentral lists this ribosomal RNA (1049 nucleotides) under uncultured Actinomycetes bacterium. RNAcentral describes it as "bacterial SSU rRNA". It matches the Rfam family "Bacterial small subunit ribosomal RNA", at positions 336 to 1397 of the family's 1533-position model. Lineage: Bacteria; Bacillati; Actinomycetota; Actinomycetes. The record is from RNAcentral.
CUCCUACGGGAGGCAGCAGUGGGGAAUAUUGCACAAUGGGCGAAAGCCUGAUGCAGCAACGCCGCGUGAGGGAUGAAGGCCUUCGGGUUGUAAACCUCUUUUAGCAGGGAAGAAGCGAAAGUGACGGUACCUGCAGAAAAAGCACCGGCUAACUACGUGCCAGCAGCCGCGGUAAUACGUAGGGUGCAAGCGUUGUCCGGAAUUAUUGGGCGUAAAGAGCUCGUAGGCGGUUUGUCGCGUCUGCUGUGAAAAUCCGAGGCUCAACCUCGGACCUGCAGUGGGUACGGGCAAACUAGAGUGCGGUAGGGGAGAUGGGAAUUCCUGGUGUAGCGGUGGAAUGCGCAGAUAUCAGGAGGAACACCGAUGGCGAAGGCACAUCUCUGGGCCGUAACUGACGCUGAGGAGCGAAAGCGUGGGGAGCGAACAGGAUUAGAUACCCUGGUAGUCCACGCCGUAAACGGUGGGUGCUAGUUGUGGGUUCCAUUCCACGGAAUCCGUGACGAAGUUAACACAUUAAGCACCCCGCCUGGGGAGUACGGUCGCAAGACUAAAACUCAAAGGAAUUGACGGGGGCCCGCACAAGCGGCGGAGCAUGCGGAUUAAUUCGAUGCAACGCGAAGAACCUUACCAAGGCUUGACAUAUACAGGAAAAGCAUAGAAAUAUGCUCCCCGCAAGGUCUGUAUACAGGUGGUGCAUGGUUGUCGUCAGCUCGUGUCGUGAGAUGUUGGGUUAAGUCCCGCAACGAGCGCAACCCUCGUCCUAUGUUGCCAGCACGUAAUGGUGGGAACUCAUGGGAGACUGCCGGGGUCAACUCGGAGGAAGGUGGGGAUGACGUCAAAUCAUCAUGCCCCUUAUGUCUUGGGCUUCACGCAUGCUACAAUGGCCGGUACAAAGGGCUGCAAUACCGCGAGGUGGAGCGAAUCCCAAAAAGCCGGUCCCAGUUCGGAUUGAGGUCUGCAACUCGACCUCAUGAAGUCGGAGUCGCUAGUAAUCGCAGAUCAGCAACGCUGCGGUGAAUACGUUCCCGGGUCUUGUACACACCGCCCGU